Molecule: ribosomal RNA, 497 nt
Filed under: uncultured bacterium
Lineage: Bacteria
Description: partial 16S ribosomal RNA
Rfam family: Bacterial small subunit ribosomal RNA
Source: RNAcentral
GAUGAACGCUGGCGGCGUGCCUAAUACAUGCAAGUCGAGCGAACGGACGAGGAGCUUGCUCCUCUGACGUUAGCGGCGGACGGGUGAGUAACACGUGGAUAACCUACCUAUAAGACUGGGAUAACUUCGGGAAACCGGAGCUAAUACCGGAUAAUAUAUUGAACCGCAUGGUUCAAUAGUCAAAGACGGUCUUGCUGUCACUUAUAGAUGGAUCCGCGCCGCAUUAGCUAGUUGGUAAGGUAACGGCUUACCAAGGCAACGAUGCAUAGCCGACCUGAGAGGGUGAUCAGCCACACUGGCACUGAGACACGGUCCACACUCCUACGGGAGGCAGCAGUAGGGACUCUUCCGCAAUGGGCGACAGCCUGACGGAGCAACGCCGCGUGAGUGAUGAAGGUCUUCGGAUCGUAAAACUCUGUUAUUAGGGAAGAACAAAUGUGUAAGUAACUGUGCACGUCUUGACGGUACCUAAUCAGAAAGCCACGGCUAACUACGUG